Molecule: long non-coding RNA, 2251 nt
Organism: Nicotiana tabacum (common tobacco)
Lineage: Eukaryota; Viridiplantae; Streptophyta; Magnoliopsida; Solanales; Solanaceae
Source: RefSeq, a predicted model, not a curated record
UUGCUUCCCUAAAAGCUUGCCUAUAAAGGCAAUCUUUCUUCACCCACAAGUCAGAUUUUAGAGAUUAAAAAUUCUGGAAAAAAAAACUGAAACGGCUGAGUUCUUUCUUUUAAGAGAAGUGUUGAAAAUAGUUUGAAUUUCUGCUUGAUUUUGAGUUCUGAUUCCUUUGUGAUAAGUCAGAAUUUUAAAGGUUUAGUAGAAAAUCGUGCAUUUGGGGUUUUGAAUAUGAGAAUUGGUUCGAUAAACUGAAGCUUGAUUUGCUGACCUUGGCACUGUUUCGUUGCUGGUUCUAAGUUGGUUUCUGCUGCUGCUUAUUGCUGAUUCUUCUCUUUUUUGUUUCCCUUUUAUUUCCAGAUCAUAUUAGUAGGCGUCAUCGCGACUCCCGAGGGUGAAAAAUCCGGAUCGUGACAUCGUCGUGCAAGAGAAACAUUCUGCGUGGACUCUUUCAGGCUUAUGGAAAAUACCAACUGGUUUCAUUCUUGAGGUAUAUUCCUGUAUUGCAUUUUGAUCUUGGUCGCUUUUAAGUUUUGACUGAAGUAAAUAGUGAAACAUGAAAUCUUGAUGCUUGGCUCCUUAAACGUUGUUCUUGUGUCAAAAUAAAGUCAGAGGAGAUCUUUACAGGAGUUGUGAGAGAAGUGGAGGAAAUUGGGGUAAGAAAUCCGCACUUAAACAUAUUUUUUACUUAGAUAAGCAAUGUAUAGUGAGAAAUUUUAAUUUAAAUGAUGAAUUUUCUUUCUCAUUAUUCUUUAUAGAUUGAUACUGAAUUUGUGGAGGUUAUGACUUUCAGGUAACAAAAAUCUUCCUCUUCGAAGGACCAUGAUUUUUGAUGAUUAUAUGCCUUUUUAGCUUUAGGAAGAUCUAUAUUAGCAUAUUUUAUAAGAACAUGAAAUGCUGAUACGAUAAGAAUCCGAGUGAACUUUGCUCAGACACAUAGAGAAUAUAGAAGUACAAUUUGCUAGAUUUAACUGUUUAGGACACUUCUUGCUUGCUAAAAAAGGACAGCCUAGUGCACUAAGCGCCUGCUAUGUGCGGGGUUCGGGUAAGGCCGGACCACAUUGGUUCUUAUGUACGUAGCCUUACUUUCGAUUUCUACAAUAAGUUGUUUCUGUCGCUUGAACCUAUGACCUCUUGGUCACACUGCGACAACUUUUAUCGUUACGCUAAGGCUCCCCUAGACUUCAUUGUUUAGGACACUUCUUGCUUUCUGAUGUAACAAAUUGAUCAAAACGAAUGUGCAUCUGAUAUAGAAAUAUAAGAUUUAUUUUCUUCCAAUUACAAAAAAACUGCCCAUCUUCAAUAUUAAUUGAGCUUCUUGCUCUCACUCAUGCUAUUUGAGACAAUCACACUAUAAACCUUAGUUUAACGUGUCAUGUAUUUUAUUCAUUACAUGUAUUUUCUGGAGGAAAACAUUGAUUAACCUCAAGAAAAUUGAGAAACUACUUAUUCCGUCAUUUCAGAAUAUGGGCCAUUAACAUCUAACAUUAAUAUUUAGAAUAUACUCAUCUAUUGGCAUUUUCAUUCUUGUUUAAUGUUCCACAUUGGUUUGGGAAAUUUGUUGUUUCCUCGCCCAAUGAGCUAGCUUUUUAUGUUAAAUUAAAUGUUCACUUUUCUUCACAUAGUAUCAGAGUUACACCACUCAUCAUAUUCUUGGCUUUGCGCCACACUGUAUUGUCCAUGCACAAAAUGUUCAAUCCUGGGCAUGCGAGGGAUGCUAAGUAUCUCAUAUUGAGUGGGAAAAUGUGUUAGUUCUUUUCUUAUAUGAUUUUGGACCAUCCUCACCUUAUGAUCUAGCUUUAGGAGUUGAGUUAGAUCCAAAGUCCAUUUUUUGAACAAUUCUGACGAGAGUGUGUAGUUUUAUUUUACCUUGCAUUUACUUAGCCUGCCUUUCUGUUCGCGAUGCAGUGGAUACCUCUAGCUGAGUUUGUGGAGUAGCCCCUAAUAAAAGGAGAUGACAUGUUCAAGAAAAUAAUUGACAUUUUCAUUGCUCGACUAGGGAAGCGUUACUGGUUUCCAAAUUUGAUGACAAACUUUCAACAUUGUACUUCAACACAGUUGAUGAUCCAGAUUUGAACUGUGAAGCUAAUUAGCAUUCGCAAUCAGCAUGUAUAUUACACUUCACCACUCACAAUGACUAACAUCACUUGGUCAUUUUGUUUAUAUGUAAUCUGCCUAAUCUGCAGGGUAUUGACUCUGUAAAUAUGUAAAAUAUAUUUUUCAAGUGAUUUAUCCAAAAAGUUUCUCUUCCCCUCAA